CCUGCGCGCCGCCCUCCGGGAUUCCCCGCGGCCACGUCCCGGUCCCCGGAGCCGCGCCCGCCCCUCGCCCCCGGCCGCCCCUGCACUGUCACCCACGCCGCGGGGCGCAGAGAAGCGUCCGGUCGGGACUUGGACCCGGAAAAGGUGAUCGCGCCCUCCCCGAGCGGUUCCCUCCCGAGUCCGGGCGCUGAGAGUCGUGAACGCUGUGGAGGUCCAGCCGUUCUGUCCCCGCAGGGCAAAGACGCCCGGGUCACAGAGGACAUGGGGAGGACGUGAAGACUCAGACCGGAUCCAAAGGUGUAAGGAAACUGAACGCCGCGAAAGCUGGUUUCUCAUGCCAGUGUAGACCUGACUCGGAGAGAUCAUCCAGUGUGUGCUGGAGGUCGGCUCCGUGGGCGCCGACUCGAGGGGCACUGACUGGCUGCAGACACUUGCCUGGGCUGAUGUGUCUCCCCACAGGUGGUUCAGACCUGUUCGUAGCAAGAGCAGAAAUAGGAACUAUCCAAGGAGGCAGGCAGGCCGCACCGUGACCGGGUGAUCCAAAUUUCCAUCGCCGGUGAGAGCAGAUGGAGUUCGUGUCCACAUCAGCCGCGCAGUAUCCCCGGGGACAGCGCAUCAUCCGAAUCGUAAUGAUGAAACACCAGACAACCCCAAAUAAGGGCCAUCCAUUAAAAAGAGGAAGGGGCCGCAUUGUGCAAAAAUGCCAGUGUCCUGAAAAUCAAAAGAAAGCUCGGGAAAUGUUCCAGAUUAAAGGGUGCUAAAGACUCAGGGCAACUUAAUGCCAUGCCUGAUCUAGGCGGCAUCUUGUACUAGAGGAGGGGAAAUGCUUCAUCAGCAUGCCGCUGACAAAGGCGGAAUACAUGUAAUAGAUUAAAGCAUUGGAUCAAUGCUAAACUUACUGACGUUGAUAACUUCUACUAUGGUUAUGUACAAAAACAUCUCAUUCUUAGGACAUACACACUAAAGAUCUUGUAAGAAAGGUCAUAGCAUAUACAGCUUACGUUCAAAUGAUUCAAGGGAAAAAAUCUUGAUAGGAAAAAUGAUAAAGCUAAGUGGGCAGUAAAGGUAAGCUGCAUAUUAUCAGU
This is a long non-coding RNA of Cebus imitator (Panamanian white-faced capuchin), 1085 nucleotides long. RefSeq lists it as uncharacterized. Lineage: Eukaryota; Metazoa; Chordata; Mammalia; Primates; Cebidae. The transcript is spliced from 2 exons. The record is from RefSeq and is a predicted model, not a curated record.